Long non-coding RNA from Felis catus (domestic cat), 5607 nucleotides. RefSeq lists it as uncharacterized. NCBI's taxonomy places the organism in Eukaryota, Metazoa, Chordata, Mammalia, Carnivora, Felidae. The transcript has 2 exons. The record is from RefSeq and is a predicted model, not a curated record.
GCAGCCUUCAGGCUCUGAGCUGUCAGCACAGAGCCCGACGCGGGGCUCAAACUCAUGGAGCGUGAGAUCGUAACCUGAGCUGAAGUCAGACGCUUAACCGACUGAGCCACCCAGGCGCCUCAUGGAGCCCUUUAUUCUUGCAAGGAGCUAACUCUAUGAAUACCUUUCCCUCUGGCACUUUGUCAUUUUGGUUGCUUAUCAUGGUAGAAAUUAUUUUUAUGGGGGCGCUUGGGUGGUUCAGUCAGUUAAGCAUCCAACUCUUGAUCUCAGCUCAGGCCUUGAUCUCAGGGUCAUGAGUUCAAGCCCCUCAUUGGGCUCCAUGCUGGGCUUGAAGCUUACUUUUUUAAAAAAACAAAAAUUAUUAUUAUGUGGUGCAAUUCUUAAAUCUCCCCUUGUAUGGCUUCUAGGUUUUGUGUCACAAUUAGGACAUCCUAGUGAGAUGAUUUUGAAAGUACCUGGUAACAAGGCAUGAAGCCAAGGUGGAUUGGAAUAUGGAUGGACCUAGUGAAACUCACAAGGAUCACCAAGAUACAUUUAAGAAGCCACCUUCCAAAUGAUCCAGACUGAAUUUGAAGUCCACAGCUACACUAAUAACAGAUCGUUGGAGCUUUGUUUCAAAAAGAGAAAGGGCUGGGGCGCCUGGGUGCCUCAGUUGGCUGUGCGUCAGACUUCGGCUUAGGUGGUGAUUUCACGGAUCAUGAAUUUGAGCCCUGCAUCUGUGGUCAGCACAGAGCCUGCUUCAGAUCCUCUGUCCCCCCGCCUCUCUGCCCCUCCCCUGCUUGAGUGCUUUCUCUCUAAAAAAAUAAAACAUGAAAAAAAUGCUAAAUAGCUUAUGUGUAAGUCUCAAUAAAAUCUCAGUGGCUAAUUAUUCUUCCUCAUAUUCCAUGUACAGAGCUGCCUCUUUUCAAUUUAAUUCAAAACUAAUUAUAAAUAACUUUUGCUAGUUUAGGAUAAUUCCCCAUAUUAUCUGUAGCACUUAGAACAGUGCUGAAAACAUGUAGGUGGCCAAAAAUAAGACGAAUGAAGAACCACGCACACACACACACACAGAAAUAUUUAAAGGGAAAAAAACCAGUCAACAACCUAGGCAAGACUAUUAGAUUUUAUUCUUUCCUGGUACUCUUAUAGCUCAACUUCACCAUGUAACAAGCCAGACUUCCUGAAUAACAACUCUUUUCCAGGCUAUAACCCUUCUCAGGAGACAGAAUUUAUCAAGUAUCAUGGUUCCAGGAUGUUUUCACCCCAGAAUUCUAAACCAGUUACAGAAUCGUAUCUUCUUAGGUCUUAAUUGGAAUCAAACAAUCUAGGCACAUGUAACAUAAUCAAAAUAGCAUAUACCAUUUCUUUCCUUCCCUUGUGGAAAGCACAUUCCUCUUUUCCCCCAAAGGGUUUGUUAUGAAGAGAUGUUUGAGUGUCACGUUUUCCAAGAAACCUGUCUACCAGUUCAAAUUCUUGGCUCAGAAUAAGGUAUCGCUUAUUCAAGAAAAUUUAAUAAAUAUUCUGAUCUAAUUGUUCUCAGACAUGGACAAAUUUGUUUUACACGCAACUUAGCUUUGCUUUCAAUAACUACUUGCAAAAGUCAAACCCUAUUUUUAAAAUAUCUUACAAUUUUCCUUAGGACUUGGGAGAGCAGGGAAGGAUGAGGAAGGGAGUUGGCUUAUUUUUUAGUAGGACAUUCUGAAGAGGGCAGAUAUUUACUUUUGAAGUCAUUAAGUGGAUAAACUGUCAAGUGUUUCUCUUGUUCUGAUAUUGAAAACAUUUAUAGCCCAGGGCCUUUCUGGUCCUGAAACUAUAAUAAAUUAUAAUAUUGUUUUAAGUACAUUCAAAAUUUAUAUUACUCUUUAAUUUCUUUUCCCUGAGUUUGGGUUCACAGUUUGGUAGAGAUACUUGAAAGAGGUAGUUAGUGGGGGUGAAGAGGAAACAAUGUUUAUGUCUAGCAGCACCCAGGGAAAAUAUAUAAUAUCUAUUAUUUUGAUCUCAGGUAACAUUUAUCUUUCCCCCUUGAAUCUGCACAAUAGAGGGAGAUAAUCAUUUUCCUUUUCUUAUCUGUUGGACUCUCUCUCCUAUUAUAUUCACCCCAGUAUUAUUAUCACUAUUCAUAAAAAUGAAUAGCCCCUCCAAAGACAAGCUACAGAAUUAAGGCUUCAAGGUGGGAUUGUUUAGAUUUAGAAGAGAGGGGCUCAACUGAGUAACUUUUAUUCAUAGUCAUUAGGGAAAAUGAGCAAAAUUUCCAGGACCCCCAACUACUCACUGCCUUUUCUCCCUGGACCUGGUUUAUUUAAAUCAUUGCUAUCAAUUCUGGAGUUGAUUCUAAGGUCUGGGUUUUAGGAAAUCUUGACAUCUAACGCAGGUACAGACACUGGUCCAGGCCUUGGCUUCCAGUCUUACGAUGGGCUGGCGGAAUACUGUUUCAUCAGAUGCUCAUGGCAGGGAUUGCAAACUCGCUCAGGCUUGAUACUCGAGGGAAGAGGCAGUUCAUUUGUUGAGCAGGCAUCACAGAACGUUCCUCUGCAGUUCUUACACAUAUUCUACAAGGAGAAGAGGAGGUUAGGUGGGGGAUAGAGGAGCAGGCCAUAUAGAUGCAUGGAACAGAAAAGGCCAAAUAUGGUAAGUGCUCAAUACCUAAUUAUUGACUAAUGUCUGCUAUGUGCCAGAUAGUAUCUGACCAAACACAGUUUCUGUCUACAAGGAAGCCUGUCUAGUUCUUAGAUCUAAAUGAAGAGAAGCAGUGCCACAGAAUUCAAAAGAACAAAUAAUACACAAAUUGCUUACUUUUAGAAUGUUCCCACCCAUUAUAUUCACUUUUAUGUGGGCUAAUUCUAAAAUUAGUUUGCAAGUACUUAAGAAUACUCCAAAUAAGGCGGGCAGGCAGUGAGUGACCUAGCCAUGGACUGGGUAGCGGUAGCCAGCCUAGGAUUAAAAAACUUGCUGAGCAUGAAGUGAAAGUAGAAUUCUUAAUACACUGAUGUGCUUAAUGCUUCCCUGUAAUACUCUACAGACAUAUCUUUUGGGAUAUCAGCGCAGCAGGAGCACAGCUUCCCUACAUCCUCUUUAUAGGGAAAUCAGUCUCUUUAUUAAGCAUUUUGAAUAUUUAGUGGCCAUGCAAUGGGACAGCACGUGGGUCAUUAUGGCAGUGUCACUGGUAAGGCUGUGUGGUAGGGUGGCACACACAUAGCUCCAAGGGUCCCUAGUAAAGGCUGUGAAGAGUAAUUCCCCCCAUUAAUAAUGCUGCUUUCUCCCAAACAAUUCACCUUCCCGAGGAUGCAGCAGAGGUAGGGGGUCACUUUUAUUUGAAAGCCCGAGAGGAAUUUUCCUGACAUAUUGUAGUUACUGUGCAGAAUUAGAAAAGCCAGAAUUAGAUUCUCUUCCAGAAACAGACAUUAUUUCUGUAAUUCCAACUCUAUAAAGGCAGUUCAUCUUUAUCUGAUUCUGUUAAGACUAGGUCAUAUUAUAGUUUUGCUUGUUAAAAUUCAGCAUGAUCACAAAGGGUGGCAUAGAGGCUUCAAAGGCAGAAUUCGGCACAUUUCCUCAUCUCUUCCAAGCACUUGUUUCUUACAGUCAUUUGCCCAUUUCUUGAACAUCUAUGAACUGGGGACCACAUGACAUGUGGGUGGGGGGAUGGAUACUACUAUGAGCAGGUCAAAGACCUGGCUACCAGAACACUUGCUGUAUCUGAACACUUCCUUCACUCUGCCUACUCUAGCAAACUGGGGAAGCGCUCAAGCAGAGACCCUUGAGGAUCCGAGGGGAAAACAAGUGGUUUUGGUGGAGAGAGCUCAUUUCCCUCUCAGAGGCUGAUUCUCCAAAUAAUUCAAAGAAUCUCCCUUCCCCAAAACUGUCUGAUUUGUUCUAAGCAGGAUGGAGUACUGGAAGAGUACAGACUUUGGGGCCAAAGUCAGGCUGCAGCUGGGCCUUGCCACUCAUGACUUGAGUAACUUUGAGAAAUGUGCUUCACAUCUCUGAGCCCAAGGUUCAUCUACAAAAUGAUGUCACAGAGGAGAUAAGCUUUACAACAGGGACUUGGUCUACGCUUUGCUCAUGACUCUUUCUCCAGCACACGAGAUAGCACAUUCUACACAGCAGGCACUCAAUAAACAUUUAUAAAUUUGUUUUAAAUUCUUUAUAUUUGUGUUCAUGGGGAUUUACUGACAUGACAUACUAUGACUGAAAAAAAUGGGUACACAAUAAAUGCUUGCUCCUUUUGCUUUUUCUCCCCACUCUGCCCUCUACACAGCAAAGUCCCUGUUACUGAAAGGGACUAGUGGUGUAACGGACAUCCUGGUGAAGAACCUGUUUGGUUCUCAGCAUCGUUACCUUUGCAAGGCGGCCGUCUUGCUGGCACAGCUGACACAUCUGUGGCUUUGCAGAGAGCAGCGGCUGGUCCUAAACCACAUAUUGAGCCAGUUAGUUUCUCUUGGUCUCAGAAACAUGAAUACUUUCAGAAUACUCAUUUUUUUUAAGUUACAAAAUUAACACAACCACACUACAGGCUAUCUGGAAACUAAAGAAACAAAUUGUAUACGGUCCUCGUGCCUUAAUACAACUCUACUAAUCCUAUCACUAUCCUUGGAGCUCUUUUCACUUUUAUAAUAAAGUAACAUGUGAUUUCAGUUAUAAAAAGAAAAUUCAAGUAUACAAGUAUGAAGUAAGAAGUUUUAAAAAGCCCCAUCCCUCUUUUCCUAUCAUAUCAACAGGAAUAGAAAGCAAUAUUCUAUUUUGCUUUUUUUUUCUUUUUUUAAAUUCCUAACAGAUAAAUGAAAGGGGUGACUCAGUCAUAGCAGCCUGUGUCUUCUUUCUCAUGGGUUGUCAUAUCCUAUUAUAUAUGCAAAGUAUCUUACAACCAUUUAUAUUUGUUUAUUUCCAAGUGAGCAAGAAGUAUUUUUUCUGUUUUAUAGAAGAGAAAACUAAGGGAAGAGGAGGCACUCUCUUAGGUCAAAGAGAAUUUCUAAGAAGUGAGACGUGCCAUUUCCUUAGUAAAUUGCUCAGAGCUGUGCUACUUCCUGUGAGAGUUUCAGGCCAAUGCGUGUUUGUUGAGGAUACUGUUAAAAGGACGGGGCACAGAGGCCUGUGUGCAUUCAUCUACUUCCCGUGCUGCCUGUGUUCAGCUAGGAAUGGGACAGCCAACUACAUCAUUUACAUGAGACGUUUGAGAACAGGAGACUCGGUUACCUGUUCAUUCGCAGGGGGAGACGGCAGCCUACAAUGGAAAAUUAAAAACAGUAACAAACAGCAACUUAUUGUAUUUCCAUGUGAAUCAUUUCAAAAGCAAAGAAAAAUCAUUACCAUGGUUCUUUUAUGUUGUUGGGACUGACAUAAUUAUUAAUCUUGACCUCCAAGGAGAAGCAAUUUUUGUAGUUAAACCUAUUACUAGAAUCUGAUCCUUGACCUACAUUAUGGUUCCUGUUUAAAAAUGGAUUUGGAGUUACAUUUGUUGUUUUCUUUUUACUGCCAAGAAAAUAGCACUUGUAUCCCAGCCUAUAAAACUCCAAUGGCCAAUGCUAUACAUUUUAAAAGUUUCUUUUUUCUGAUAUUAUAGAAACCUAUUAUAUGUCAUGUAUUAAUCCCCUCUUCCAAAUAUUCUUAAGAUGUGAACUUUAGCAAAUUAAU